UACAGAGGUGGCGAACGUUGUUCGGAUUUACUGGGCGUAAAGGGUCCGCAGGCGGUUUGGUGUGUCGGAUGUGAAAGCUCACAGCUCAACUGUGGAAUUGCAUUCGAAACUGCCAAACUAGAGUACUGGAGGGGAGAAGGGAACACUUGGUGUAGCGGUGAAAUGCGUAGAUAUCAAGUGGAACACCGGUGGCGAAGGCGCUUCUCUGGACAGAUACUGACGCUCAUGGACGAAAGUUAGGGUAGCGAAAGGG
RNAcentral lists this ribosomal RNA (253 nucleotides) under uncultured bacterium. Its description in RNAcentral is "partial 16S ribosomal RNA". It matches the Rfam family "Bacterial small subunit ribosomal RNA", at positions 524 to 776 of the family's 1533-position model. The record is from RNAcentral.